UACGAAGGGGGCUAGCGUUGCUCGGAAUCACUGGGCGUAAAGCGCACGUAGGCGGCUUUCUAAGUCAGGGGUGAAAUCCUGGAGCUCAACUCCAGAACUGCCUUUGAUACUGGAGAGCUUGAGUCCGGAAGAGGUGAGUGGAACUCCGAGUGUAGAGGUGAAAUUCGUAGAUAUUCGCAAGAACACCAGUGGCGAAGGCGGCUUACUGGCUCAUUUCUGACGCUGAGGUGCGAAAGCGUGGGGAGCAAACAGG
Molecule: ribosomal RNA, 253 nt
Filed under: uncultured bacterium
Lineage: Bacteria
Description: partial 16S ribosomal RNA
Rfam family: Bacterial small subunit ribosomal RNA
Source: RNAcentral